RNAcentral lists this ribosomal RNA (364 nucleotides) under Leopardus tigrinus (little spotted cat). Its description in RNAcentral is "partial 16S ribosomal RNA". It matches the Rfam family "Bacterial large subunit ribosomal RNA", at positions 1991 to 2531 of the family's 2925-position model. Lineage: Eukaryota; Metazoa; Chordata; Mammalia; Carnivora; Felidae. The record is from RNAcentral.
UAUGAAUGGCCACACGAGGGCUUUACUGUCUCUUACUUCCAAUCCGUGAAAUUGACCUUCCCGUGAAGAGGCGGGAAUAUAAUAAUAAGACGAGAAGACCCUAUGGAGCUUUAAUUAACCGACCCAAAGAGACCCCAAUAAUUAACCGACAGGAACAACAAAUCUCUACAUGGGCCGGCAAUUUAGGUUGGGGUGACCUCGGAGAAUAAAACAACCUCCGAGUGAUUUAAAUCUAGACUAACCAGUCGAAAGUAUUACAUCACUUAUUGAUCCAAAACUUGAUCAACGGAACAAGUUACCCUAGGGAUAACAGCGCAAUCCUAUUUUAGAGUCCAUAUCGACAAUAGGGUUUACGACCUCGAUG